RNAcentral lists this long non-coding RNA (364 nucleotides) under Mytilus galloprovincialis (Mediterranean mussel). Lineage: Eukaryota; Metazoa; Mollusca; Bivalvia; Mytilida; Mytilidae. The record is from RNAcentral.
GUUUUUUUUUUUUUUGGUUUGUCGAGUCGUCCAUAUCAAAAAUGUUUUCUCCUCUGUUGAGGCAUAUUGCAGAAAGAUUUGAUAUCGAAUGUACUAAAUUUGGGUCCGACGUCCGUGAACUUUUCAAUCUUUGAACUUCUAUUUGGGAACCACGUAAAAGGAUCAAUAUAUGAAUCUGUUAUUUUACUCCAUUGUUGAAGCAUAUGAUAAAAAGAUCAUAACAUGUCAUUUUUCCAUAUCGCAUGUAUUAUCAGCCCUCGGUCAAUAUCAGCCCUCGAGCCAUGCGGCUCUUGGGCUGAUAUUGAACCUAGGGCUGAUAAUACAUGCGAUAUGAAAAAUGCCAUGUAAUAAUCUGAUAUUAUUU